UGUGGCUCGGGGGCGGGCCCCUCCGGGGCGGGCCGCUCAGGGUUAAAGGGGCGUCCGCGGGCCGCCGCCGCUCCGCCGCGGGGAGACAAAGCGUCCGCUCGCCGCCGCCCCCCCAGCGGUUCCAGGCCAUGGGCGGUGCGGACCGUCGCGCCAGCCCCGCAGCCAGGCUGUUUACAUACCUCUCGUGAAAGGCAUGACUGCCGUCUGCAGAGCGAGGCUGUGACAGGGGACCCACGGGUUGCAGGGCCUCCUCCGAGGGGCCACACUGGUGACGUGCGUGCUGCCUCCCGGGGA
This 294-nucleotide long non-coding RNA is filed under the name Meriones unguiculatus (Mongolian gerbil). Its description in RNAcentral is "lncRNA (ENSMUGG00000013973.1)". Lineage: Eukaryota; Metazoa; Chordata; Mammalia; Rodentia; Muridae. The record is from RNAcentral.